Molecule: unclassified non-coding RNA, 217 nt
Filed under: Clostridioides difficile
Lineage: Bacteria; Bacillati; Bacillota; Clostridia; Peptostreptococcales; Peptostreptococcaceae
Description: 16S-23S ribosomal RNA intergenic spacer (ISR)
Source: RNAcentral
ACCUACUGUUUAAUUUUGAGGGUUCGUUUUUACGAAUGCUCAAAAUUAGCACUUUAAGCAACGGGAUUUAUCCGUUGGCGCUGUGCGUUAGCACUUUGAAAACUGCAUAUAUAUAUUUAGUGAUAUGACAUCUAAUUUGUAAUAUAUAAAGCUGAUAACUUUUUAAAAUUAUCGAAGUUGAUAGCUUCUAAUCUAUCAAACCUUUUUAACUGGUCAA